UACGGAGGAUGCAAGCGUUAUCCGGAAUUAUUGGGCGUAAAGGGUCUGUAGGUGGCGAUUCAAGUCUACGGUUAAAGCCUGGAGCUUAACUCCAGAACAGCCGUGGAAACUGAAUGGCUUGAGAGCAGUAGAGGUAGCGGGAAUUCCCAGAGUAGCGGUGAAAUGCGUAGAGAUUGGGAAGAACACCAGCGGCGAAAGCGCGCUACUGGGCUGACUCUGACACUGAGGGACGAAAGCUAGGGGAGCGAAACGG
This 253-nucleotide ribosomal RNA is filed under the name uncultured prokaryote. RNAcentral describes it as "partial 16S ribosomal RNA". It matches the Rfam family "Bacterial small subunit ribosomal RNA", at positions 524 to 776 of the family's 1533-position model. The record is from RNAcentral.